This 441-nucleotide ribosomal RNA is filed under the name uncultured bacterium. RNAcentral's name for it is "partial 16S ribosomal RNA". It matches the Rfam family "Bacterial small subunit ribosomal RNA", at positions 338 to 795 of the family's 1533-position model. The record is from RNAcentral.
CCUACGGGAAGCAGCAGUGGGGGAUAUUGCACAAUGGGGGGAACCCUGAUGCAGCGACGCCGCGUGGGUGAAGGAGGGCUUCGGCAUGUAAAGCUCUAUCGGCAGGGAAGAAGCAAGACGGUACCUGACUAAGAAGCCCCGGCUAACUACGUGCCAGCAGCCGCGGUAAUACGCAGGGGGCGAGCGUUAUCCGGAUUCACUGGGUGUAAAGGGAGCGUAGACGGCCAUUCAAGCCAGGGGUGAAAGCCCGGGGCUCAACCCCGGGACUGCCCUUGGAACUGGAUGGCUUGAGUGCUGGAGGGGCAGGCGGAAUUCCAGGUGUAGCGGUGAAAUGCGUAGAUAUCAGGAGGAACACCGGCGGCGAAGGCGGCCUGCUGGACCGCGACUGACGUUGAGGCUCGAAAGCGUGGGGAGCGAACAGGAUUAGAUACCCCAGUAGUC